Pelobates cultripes (western spadefoot toad) is the source of this 206-nucleotide non-coding RNA. NCBI's taxonomy places the organism in Eukaryota, Metazoa, Chordata, Amphibia, Anura, Pelobatidae. The record is from the annotation of a GenBank genome assembly.
AAGGAAAAUUAAUUCCCAAGUUUAUCAAGACAUUUUGCAGGAGAACUUCAGGCCAUCUGUCUACCAGCUGAAGCUCAACAGAAGAUGGGUGUUGCAACAGGACAAUGACCCAAAGCAUAGAAGUAAAUCAACAACAGAAUGGCUUAAACAGAAGAAAAUACGCCUUCUGAAGUGGCCCAGUCAGAGUCCUGACCUCAACCCGAUUG